ACUUAAGCAUAUCAAUAAGCGGAGGAAAAGAAACCAACCGGGAUUGCCCCAGUAGCGGCGAGUGAAGCGGCAAAAGCUCAGAUUUGGAAUCGCUUCGGCGAGUUGUAAAUUGCAGGUUGGGCAUCUCUGCGCGUGCGGGCGGUCUAAGUCCCUUGGAACAGGGCGCCAUUGAGGGUGAGAGCCCCGUGAGGCCGUCUCUUUUGCGCGCGCUACGAGGCCCUUCUGACGAGUCGAGUUGUUUGGGAAUGCAGCUCUAAGCGGGUGGUAAAUUCCAUCUAAGGCUAAAUACUGGCGAGAGACCGAUAGCGAACAAGUACUGUGAAGGAAAGAUGAAAAGCACUUUGAAAAGAGAGUGAAACAGCACGUGAAAUUGUUGAAAGGGAAGGGUAUUGCACUUCGACAUGGAGCGUGCGCACCGCUGCCCCUCGUGGGCGGCGCUCUGGGCGUGCUCUGGGCCAGCAUCGGUUUUUACGGCGGGAGAAGGGCCGGGCGCAUGUAGCUCUUCGGCUUGUAUGUCGCGCGGCCGUUGCCGCGAGCGGGACCGAGGACUGCGA
This 554-nucleotide ribosomal RNA is filed under the name Pichia fermentans. RNAcentral describes it as "partial large subunit ribosomal RNA". It matches the Rfam family "Eukaryotic large subunit ribosomal RNA", at positions 32 to 642 of the family's 3401-position model. Lineage: Eukaryota; Fungi; Ascomycota; Pichiomycetes; Pichiales; Pichiaceae. The record is from RNAcentral.